CAAGAGAAUGGAAGCAAUCAACGUCAAAAGCUCGGAAAGACCACAGGUUUAACGUAAAGCUGCAAAGUAGUUAGGAAAGUUUGUUAGAAGAUAGAGAAUCAUUCACGUACACCGCUUGUGGAGCACGUGAAUGACUUGUAAAGUCCCUUUUACCCUUCGCCCUAAUGUAACUCUAUAAAUACUCCUUGUAACUCAUUAUAAU
RNAcentral lists this long non-coding RNA (202 nucleotides) under Salvia miltiorrhiza (redroot sage). RNAcentral describes it as "long non-coding RNA (SMIL_LNC003599)". Lineage: Eukaryota; Viridiplantae; Streptophyta; Magnoliopsida; Lamiales; Lamiaceae. The record is from RNAcentral.